AUGAAACCUUGCUCACAUAUAUCCUCUCACAGAAAAUGGCCUACCUUAGAGGAACCUAUAGGGAAUAAAGAAGAGAAAAAAAGACUGGAACAUAACACUGACUUCAAAAGGAGGAUGAUUUUGGUUGAGGAUUUCCCCAACUUUUGGAAAGGCUACAGCUCAUAUGCAAGUGCAAAAUGCUGUCUGGAGAAGAUAUGCUGGAAAGGGAAAGAGAAGGAGUUGACAUGUUAUUGGCAUGGGGUCAAUAAUGCAAAGGGCACACAAAUUAGCCACACCUCUCAGUGGAAUCCUUUCCUACCAAUGGCAGAUGGUGAUCACAGAACACAGUUUUGCCACAACCUAGGAAGGAGAAGAUGGCUGAAAUCAACAUGCACUGCAAGAACCUGGGAUUCAUCUCCUUUAAUGGGGUCAAAGAAGGAAGAAAUUGCUCCUGGAAGCUCACAUGGAUGUUGUGACAUGAGAGGCUUGCAGACCACACCCCACCACCAUGUCCUUCCUACUGUGCCUCCAAAUGUCCUGCCAGCCAUGAGGUUUGGUGGAAAGCAGCUUUUGUCCUUCCAUCCAAAGGCAGUGGUGGCCCAUCAGAAAAGCAAGGAUCCAAGUUCUUCAUUUUCCUGA
RNAcentral lists this long non-coding RNA (618 nucleotides) under Papio anubis (olive baboon). RNAcentral describes it as "lncRNA (ENSPANG00000046347.1)". Lineage: Eukaryota; Metazoa; Chordata; Mammalia; Primates; Cercopithecidae. The record is from RNAcentral.